RNAcentral lists this ribosomal RNA (1012 nucleotides) under Myota aerea. Its description in RNAcentral is "SSU rRNA". It matches the Rfam family "Eukaryotic small subunit ribosomal RNA", at positions 52 to 968 of the family's 1831-position model. The record is from RNAcentral. Lineage: Eukaryota; Metazoa; Arthropoda; Insecta; Hemiptera; Pentatomidae.
UGCAGUCUCAGUACGAGCUGACUUAAAGUGAAACCGCAAAAGGCUCAGUAAACCGGUCAUAGUUUACCGGAUAUAUGCCACUCACGUGGAUAACUGUGGUAAUUCUAGAGCUAAUACAUGCAACCAAGUCCCGACCAGCGAUGGAAAGGACGCUUUUAUUGGAUCAAAACCAUUCGCCCGGCUCGCCCGGGCGUCUGCUUGAUGACUCUAGAUAACACCACAGAUCGCACGGUCACAGUACCGGCGACGUAUCCGUCAAAUGUCUGACUUAUCAGCUGUCGAUGGUAGACUCUGUGUCUACCAUGGCGCUCACGGGUAACGGGGAAUCAGGGUUCGAUUCCGGAGAGGGAGCCUGAGAAACGGCUACCACAUCCAAGGAAGGCAGCAGGCACGCAAAUUACCCACUCCCGGCACGGGGAGGUAGUGACAAAAAAUAACGAUACGGGACUCAUCCGAGGCCCCGUAAUCGGAAUGAGAACACCCUAAAUCCUUUAACGAGGAUCUAUUGGAGGGCAAGUCUGGUGCCAGCAGCCGCGGUAAUUCCAGCUCCAAUAGCGUAUAUUAAAGUUGUUGCGGUUAAAAAGCUCGUAGUUGGUUCUGCGUGCCACGCUGUCGGUUCACCGCCUGUCGGUGCAACUGGCAUGCCGUGGCAUGUCCUGUCGGUGGCUGACGGGCUUCGCGGCGCGCCCUGCUCGCUCACGCGUGUAGGUCGACGCGCCGUGUCGUCCUCGUUGGCCGGCUCAAUCCUACCGCGGUGCUCUUAAACGAGUGUCGAGGUAGGCCGACACUGUUUACUUUGAACAAAUUAGAGUGCUUCAAGCAGGCUCUGAAAGCAGCCUGAAUAGUGGUGCAUGGAAUAAUGGAACAGGACCUUGGUUCUAUUUUGUUGGUUUCCGGAAUCCAAGGUAAUGAUCAAUAAGGACAGGCGGGGGCAUUCGUAUUGCGACGUUAGAGGUGAAAUUCUUGGAUCGUCGCAAGACGCACUAGAGCGAAAGCAUUUGCCAAGUAUGUU